UACGUAGGGGGCUAGCGUUGUCCGGAUUUAUUGGGCGUAAAGAGCGCGUAGGCGGCCAGGUAGGUCUGGUGUGAAAACUCGAGGCUUAACCUCGAGAUGUCAUCGGAAACCAUCUGGCUAGAGUCCGGAAGAGGAGAGUGGAAUUCCUGGUGUAGCGGUGAAAUGCGCAGAUAUCAGGAAGAACACCAAUGGCGAAAGCAGCUCUCUGGGACGGUACUGACGCUGAGACGCGAAAGCGUGGGGAGCGAACAGG
Molecule: ribosomal RNA, 253 nt
Filed under: uncultured bacterium
Lineage: Bacteria
Description: partial 16S ribosomal RNA
Rfam family: Bacterial small subunit ribosomal RNA
Source: RNAcentral